RNAcentral lists this ribosomal RNA (451 nucleotides) under uncultured bacterium. RNAcentral's name for it is "partial 16S ribosomal RNA". It matches the Rfam family "Bacterial small subunit ribosomal RNA", at positions 29 to 523 of the family's 1533-position model. The record is from RNAcentral.
AACGAACGCUGGCGGCAGGCUUAACACAUGCAAGUCGAACGCGUGUAGCAAUACACGAGUGGCGCACGGGUGAGUAACGCGUGGAUAUCUGCCUUUUGGUUCGGAAUAACCCCGGGAAACUGGGGCUAAUACCGGAUGGUUCCUUCGGGAUAAAGAUUUAUCGCCAAAAGAUGAGUCCGCGUCCGAUUAGCUAGUCGGUGAGGUAAUGGCUCACCAAGGCGACGAUCGGUAGCUGGUCUGAGAGGACGAUCAGCCACACUGGGACUGAGACACGGCCCAGACUCCUACGGGAGGCAGCAGUGGGGAAUAUUGGACAAUGGGGGCAACCCUGAUCCAGCCAUGCCGCGUGAGUGAUGAAGGCCUUCGGGUUGUAAAGCUCUUUUGGCGGGGACGAUGAUGACGGUACCCGCAGAAUAAGCCCCGGCUAACUUCGUGCCAGCCGCCGCAGUAA